RNAcentral lists this ribosomal RNA (369 nucleotides) under uncultured Clostridium sp. RNAcentral's name for it is "bacterial SSU rRNA". It matches the Rfam family "Bacterial small subunit ribosomal RNA", at positions 1012 to 1381 of the family's 1533-position model. Lineage: Bacteria; Bacillati; Bacillota; Clostridia; Eubacteriales; Clostridiaceae. The record is from RNAcentral.
CCUUUCCUUCGGGACAGAGGAGACAGGUGGUGCAUGGUUGUCGUCAGCUCGUGUCGUGAGAUGUUGGGUUAAGUCCCGCAACGAGCGCAACCCUUAUCCUUAGUAGCCAGCGGUUCGGCCGGGCACUCUAGGGAGACUGCCAGGGAUAACCUGGAGGAAGGCGGGGAUGACGUCAAAUCAUCAUGCCCCUUAUGAUCUGGGCUACACACGUGCUACAAUGGUGACUACAAAGGGAAGCAGCCUCGUGAGAGUGAGCAAAUCCCAAAAAGGUCAUCUCAGUUCGGAUUGUAGUCUGCAACUCGACUACAUGAAGCUGGAAUCGCUAGUAAUCGCGAAUCAGAAUGUCGCGGUGAAUACGUUCCCGGGUCU